UACACCCGUGUUUAGUGCAUAUGAAGAAAGCUGCAGCUGUUGCCGCGUGUUGGAGCUGCUGCCAACAUGGAGUUUAAUUGAAACAAUGUGGGCUGCUGCCGCCUUACAUUGGGUGCAUGGGCUGACACCAAACAUUAGUGAUACGCAGCGUUUUGAGAGCAGCUGCCUUAGGUGAUAUUUACUUUGACAAUUCAUUUGGCAGAGAAGAAGGCAUUCUCUCGAACAUUUCAGAAGAAAGAAAACCUUUAGGGUUAGGGCAGAGCGAGAGCUGAAGAGAGCUGACUUGUGCGAACCGGAGAUGGAAGAUGCUGACCGUGAAGAGGAUCAAACGGCUGGAAGAGAAGAAGGGGUGAUCGUCCGUUGAGAAGUGAAGCGCGAAUCAUCCAAGUUGCCAAGGGGAUGUUAAGAAACUGCUUGCAAACAAAACUGGUUUGCAGCCUGAAGAGCAGCAACUCUUCUUCCGAGGAGAAGAAAAGUACAAUGAAGAGACUUUGUACGUAGAAGGUGUGCUGGUCAAAUCAAAUAUUUUUCUUUUGGAUAAUACUGCUAGUGAAGAGUGGAAAAUUGAGGAAAUUAGAAAACAUAAUGACAUGUUAAAGGCUUUUGAAGCUGUUGCUGAAGUCAGAGCAGAGGUGGACGAGCUUGCUUAGAGGGUAUUUGUAUUGAGAGUCGCUGCAGAUGGAGGGACCAGGGUUUCUGACAAAGAGUUUUCGACGUGCACAGAGUUGCUUAUGAGCAAGGAAUCGGCAUAUUGUUCAGUACAAGACUGCUUAUUAUUCGUUUCACCAGUAAGUAUUAUUAUCCUUUUUUUGGUAUAACCUCGCUAUUUUUGGUUUCCUCUUUGCCCUUUUCUUAGAAACACUGUUGCCAAAUAGCUAUGAGUUGCUCAGUAUUUUACACUGCUAGAAUCUUUAAUAAACGUCUUUCUUCCUCUUGCUAAAAAUCCCUACGCAUGCGUAAUGAUACAUCAAAGGGAGAAAGAGUGUUUAAAUGGCUUUAGCCAACUGAUCCAAAUUAAUCACGAAGAAAGAAAAAUACAAUAAAGACAGAAAAAAUCCCAAGUCGGGGAUGUGCCCCAUCUUCCAAAAGGCAGAGCUGGAGAGAGGAGCUUUUUCGGGGCGUCAAAUUGCUUUAUCACGGCCCUUUUUGUUCCCAUUCCAUUGAUCACAUCUCAUUACCACAGCCUGACUGAAAACUCUGGCCUCACUCAGCUCCAACACCAACCAUCAUUCCACCCUUUUACGGGAACCAUCUUUCACCUACAACAGAAAAAGAAAGCCAGCCACAGGGAAGAGGAAACCGUCUGAGGCGAACAAGAACUCCAAGAAAGCUUGCUUUACCAUUAAGAAAGGUGCAAGUAGGAAAGAGAAGAAGGAAAAAUGCAAAAGAGAUUGGAAAAGGAAAAAUAUUAUAACUAUGGUUGUAUACGCGAUUACAAAAUUAUGUGUAACUCUGUUUUCCAUACACUUUGUUGCGUGUAUUUUUCAUUUUCUGGCUAAAAAUGAUGAUCAAAAAUCCAAAUGGUCAAGUCUAGUCUCUUCUGAUUUCUUCCACAAAGAAUUUCUAUUGACCUCCCGCUGGAUCCUCUUCAAUCGGGUGAUUACGGCCUGAAGGAUCGAAAAAUGUGGCUUUUUAGCCCUAUAUCGACUUUCAUUCCCACUUGAAAGUCAUUGUUAGGUAAAGAAUCUCUAGCAGACGCUAUCAAUGAAUCUUCUUAGUCGAUCGGACAUUCAAAACAACAUCUACCGGAGUUACGUAACGUCACUAUAUUGGUCAACAAUGACUUUUACGUCAGUUGGGUGUGGUGAGUUAUAUCUAGUAAGGUGUUUUGCAUAUUUUAUAUGCUCUAUAGUAUUGGACUAUUAAUGUACCUAACAGAAAAUAUGAUCAAAUUAAUGGUUCUGAUCUAGAAAAAAAGGGAGAAAAUCUAUUACUUGGCCCACCAUCUACCAGAUCUAUUACUGGGCAAGUUAGCAAAGCAAGAAAAUCUUUAGACUUGAGUGAGCAUAACUUACAAAUGGAGCAACUCAUUGAAUAGUUGACAAAGACUAGCACCUCAAUUAUAAGAGCCGAAAGAGACCUGAAUUUGAGCAACAAUUCAAUACCAUGUCGAGAGUGUAUCCAACUAGGUCAACCAUCUCUACUGUGCCUACGUAGGAUAAUUUCAUUAGGGUGGUGUUAGAACCACAAGAAAAUGUUAAUCCAAUUCAAGAGUUGAAGGACAUUUCAAGCAAGUGGUCUUGGAACUUUUGUCUCACUAUUGGUGAGAAAUUUUACAUAGACAGACAAGAUGUCUCUCAAAUCUUUAUAAGUAAUGAGAUGUUAAACAUUUUAAUCAUUCUGUUAUGGAUACUGUGAGUAGUAUACUUUAAAUUAUUUCAUAUCUAUUUUUCAGUUUAAUUUUAUGAUAACUACCAUUGCCACAAAUGUUUAUAUGCCAAUGUAGGUAUGUAAAUCAAGUGAUUAUGUACAUCGGGAAGGCUGAAAUCUGUGGUUUUCUUGAACCCCAAUCAGUUCAAAAUCGUGGGAAUAAAGAGAUAGAACGUGAGACUCACAUUUGAGAUAACAUUAAAUCAUCCCAAAAAAAGAUUUAUAUGGCGUCUUAUUAUGAAAUGUAAGUAAAACUCACAAUUUUGUUUUAGUCUUAAACUAACAUCACUAAUAAAUUCAUAUAUGUUAGAUGUCAUUGGCAAUAAAUGCUAAUUUGUCUCAGUGAUAAUAUUGUAGUGUGGUUUUGUUUAUUACAUAGAAAGCCAAGUGCAGACUUGAAAACUAUUGUACAAAGGUAUGACAUAAUUCCAAUGUGCAUUGUUAUUUUAUUUCAUAUAAUGUAUUAAUCACUAAUGACCUUUCUUUUUAGAGCGAUUAUGUCCCCUUCUUCAUUGUGCUGGAUUUACCCUAAGGUAUUUAAUACUUAAAUCAAACUAUUCAAAUAUUUAUGUUUUACUUUUCAAAUAUCAUAUUUCAGUGCAAUAGGCAAAAUGGAAAUUAUGAAUGUGGUUAUUAUGUCAUGCAUCGGAUAUGGACAAUAGCCCGUUAUGAUAUUGUUGACACUUGGGGAGAGGUAUUAAGUUAAUUUAAAUAGAUAUGUUAAAUCAAUUACUAUGUUUGAUUAUGCUAUUAUUAAAAGUUGUUUCUUUUGUAUUUCAGAUAUUCAAAGACAAAAACAAAUUGGACACUAGCAUAAUUGAAGAAAUGGGUCAAAUUCUUAUUAAAACUUGUCUUGGAUGAUUAUUAAGUACUUUGUUUUAGUUUAUGUGGAAUUUAGACCUCUUUUAGUUGUUUAGCAUUGUGUUUAGUGUUAACAGAAAAAGAUGGAUUUACCUGUAUCAAAAUGACGAUGACAAGUGAACACUUCAUUGCUUGUUUUGUUAACAGCGAGUUAUUAUUAGUAUGACAAUGAUGUGUUUCUUCUGUUUUUAAAAUAGCUUGGUUUUGUGAUUCAA
Molecule: RNA transcript, 3446 nt
Organism: Vigna radiata var. radiata (mung bean)
Lineage: Eukaryota; Viridiplantae; Streptophyta; Magnoliopsida; Fabales; Fabaceae
Gene name: BTB/POZ domain-containing protein NPY3
Exons: 7
Source: RefSeq, a predicted model, not a curated record